This 327-nucleotide ribosomal RNA is filed under the name uncultured eukaryote. Its description in RNAcentral is "partial 18S ribosomal RNA". It matches the Rfam family "Eukaryotic small subunit ribosomal RNA", at positions 1470 to 1796 of the family's 1831-position model. The record is from RNAcentral.
CCCUUAGAUGUUCUGGGCCGCGCGCGCGCUACACUGACGAAUGCAACGAGCUUAUAACCUUGGCCGAAAGGUCUGGGUAAUCUCCAAAUUUCGUCGUGAUGGGGAUAGAUUAUUGCAAUUAUUAAUCUUCAACGAGGAAUGCCUAGUAAGCGCAAGUCAUCAGCUUGCGUUGAUUACGUCCCUGCCCUUUGUACACACCGCCCGUCGCUCCUACCGAUUGAAUGGUCCGGUGAAGCGUUCGGACCGUGGCCUUUGGACGGUUCGCCGUCUGUUGGCUGCGGGAAGUUCGUUAAACCUUAUCAUUUAGAGGAAGGAGAANUCGUAACA